UCCGUAGGUGGAUAAUUAAGUCAGAGGUGAAAUCCUGCAGCUCAACUGUAGAAUUGCCUUUGAUACUGGUUAUCUUGAGUCAUUAUGAAAUGGUUAGAAUGUGUAGUGUAGCGGUGAAAUGCAUAGAUAUUACACAGAAUACCGAUUGCGAAGGCAGAUCACUAAUAAUGUACUGACACUGAGGGACGAAAGCGUGGGGAGCGAACAGGAUUAGAUACCCUGGUAGUCC
Molecule: ribosomal RNA, 229 nt
Filed under: uncultured bacterium
Lineage: Bacteria
Description: partial 16S ribosomal RNA
Rfam family: Bacterial small subunit ribosomal RNA
Source: RNAcentral